GUAUUAUUAUCCUAUGCGGUCGAAGGGACAGGCGUGCUGUCAGUGACCAGGAAAACAGUAAAAUAUCAUCAAUUAUUCCAGAAUGUUCCAGAAAGCCUUCAUCCUCUUCAUCAUAGGUCUGCUGGCUCACAGUCACACCCAGAUGAUGUCAGAAGAAUCCCUAGUCUUCAUCACAAGCCUGGUCUUCUCCCCCCAUCUUUCCACGGACCCCAAUGAGGCUGGGGCAAUAUUUGGACCUCAUGAGGCCUGCCCGAGCGAAGCACCAGUGAAACGUAGGAUUAGGCACUCGGAUCGAUAUGUUUGUGCGAAAAUGUAAACUGAAAAUCGUAAUUCAAGACCAAUAAAAGUAAGACUUUAAUUUUACUAGCACGUCUUGUAUUUAUGUUAGAAAUAAGUAAACAAAAGUACUUUUUAGGGUUCCGUACCCAAAGGGUAAAACGGGACCCUAUUACUAAGACUUCGCUGUCCGUCCGUCUGUUACCAGGCUGUAUCUCACGAACCGUGAUACAGACAGUUGAAAUUUUCACCUACCUAGACAGUUGAAAUUUUCACAGAUGAUGUCUUUCUGUUGCCGCUACAACAACAAAUACUAAAAACAGGCAUUUUUGCAUUAUGGUACGGAACCCUUCGUGCGCGAGUCCGACUCGCUAUUGCCCGGUUUUUUAAAUCGUAGGAGUAAAAUUACCAAUAAAUAAAUUAUCUUAGUAUGUUUAUUUAUAAAAAGGAAUUUACUAUUUUACAAACAAUGUAUUGCAGUGGCAACAUUGACUUCGGUACUUUUUUUGGUCUUGAAUUUUCAGUUUAGUGUAUUUUUAAUUUUAGUUUAAUUUUGUAAACUUUGUUAGAGAAAUGAUGAUUAUUUUCUAUAAUAAAUAUCAAUUUUGUACUUAAA
Cydia fagiglandana is the source of this 892-nucleotide long non-coding RNA. RefSeq lists it as uncharacterized. NCBI's taxonomy places the organism in Eukaryota, Metazoa, Arthropoda, Insecta, Lepidoptera, Tortricidae. The transcript has 2 exons. The record is from RefSeq and is a predicted model, not a curated record.